Molecule: transfer RNA, 71 nt
Filed under: marine eukaryotic metagenome
Rfam family: tRNA
About the family: Transfer RNA (tRNA) molecules are approximately 80 nucleotides in length. Their secondary structure includes four short double-helical elements and three loops (D, anti-codon, and T loops).
Source: RNAcentral
GGGUCGUAGCUCAGCUGGUUAGAGCGCCGGCCUGUCACGCCGGAGGUCGCGAGUUCGAGUCUCGUCGGCCC